GUCUUAUUCGUUUGUUCCUGCUAUUUGUCUUCUCUUCUGUAAAAAUGGCUUUAGCACUCAGAAUCUUCUACUUGCAAAGAAUGCUCAUCUUGUCCUGUAGGAGGACAUUCUCUGUAGGAGGAAUGGAGUUUAAACAACUGAAAAAUCAAAGAGAUGAAUAUUUGCAGCUGUGGUAAAUACCCAAAAUUCUGUGCCAAAAUGUAAACAAAGCUGUUAAUGCAUCCAAAUUAGCUGACAUCAAGCAACAGCAACUGCUCCCUUGCAGUCUUUGUGGCAAAGACAACAAACUAAGGAAAUGGUCGUUUACCACCUCACUAGCUGCUAGAACCACCACCAGUCUCCCUGGGAAGCCUGUACCUGCAAGGGAGAUGUUGCAUAACCCUAUAGAUAAGUGACUGCACUUGGGCUCAGAAGACUUCAGGUCAGCCUCCAGAGAUAGAGCCUUGGAAAUGGUCCUUGAACAGAUACCCUUAAGAAGCAAGCACUCCCCUCUGCAUAUUCUUACGUAAGAAAAUUCUGAUGCCUCUUAAACUACAACUUCUGGGUAAAUCUGAUGGUGUUCUGAUGUCAGGACAUUCAUGACAUGAUAUCCCACUGCCUGCAACUACUAUCCUUUCUGUCUGUGGCCUGCACAUAUAUGUGUGAAGCAAAACUCUGCAAAGUAAAAUUGAUUGACCAGCCUUGGCUGGCAUUUGCUUCACUGCUUACAUGAAAAUGAAACUAAAAGAGGUUUGCUGUCUGUCAGGGCCCUACAUCAGGAGGAGGAUACUGGGUCUGAUAAGGCUGGAGGAUUGCUAUCCACUACUGCUCUUUCAGGCUGGGUCACGGGAGGCUGCAAUUAGGAAACAAAAUAUUUAAAAAGACUUUAUGUACUUUGGGAAGAUGUUGGAGGGAUUGGGAGCCCUGGUAGCGUUAUCCUGAUUCCUCCCACUUGGAGACUGAAACUCAGACAGAAGGAGAAAAACAAAUCAGUUGAAUGAAUGGCUGCAUGUAUGGUGUCAUACUCAUGGUUUCAAGUACAUCUUGGAUGCACCUUUGAGAAACCAAGCCUGUUGGUGUUGGAUGGAAUGCAACUGACCAGGAGGUGCAAGAUUAUACUGGACAGCAACCUGGCUGGGCUUAUCACCAGAGCUUUAAACGAGAUUUGAUGGGGGAAGGUGUUGUAAUGCUGAGUGACUGAGAAGAGCCAUGAAACACUGUCAUUUUAGGAAGUAAUGCAGAAAAAGCUCAGAUUUGUCCCAGAGGAAUCUGGGAGAGCUUCCACAAGAAGGUAACACAGAUUAUAGCCCAACUAAAGUGCCUCUACACCGUCGCAUGCAGUCUGGGAAAUAAACAGGAGUUGGAAACCGUGGUGUAAUUUGAAAGCGAUGACUUAAUUGCUAUCAUAAAAGUCUCUGAGAAACAGCAAUAAUAAUAAACAGGGAUAAAAUUAGGGACAAGAACUAUAAAGGGCAUCUGGUGAUCAGAGUUUACGAUUAGGCUGUCUGAUCCUGAUGGGGAUUUCAGCCACUCAGAGAUCGGCUGGGAAAACAACACAGUGGCAUGCAAGAAGUCCAUGGUACUCUUGGAGUUCAUUGAAGAUUACUUCCUAGUCCAGAUACUGGACAGACCAGGGGUUGGAGACUGAAAGAAGAAGUUAUUGACACUGCGUCAUGGGCUGCAUCAACAGAGAGAUGGCAGAGGGCAGAGAGGGGAUUGUUCUCUGCUCUGCCUCACGAGGCCCCGUUGACAGUAUUGCAUCCAGACCUGGAACACCCAGCACAGGAGGGACGUGGGUCAAAGAUGAUCAAAGGGCUGAAAUACCUCUCCUAUGAAGAGAGUUUGAGGUGUCCAGGCUUGUUCAGCCUGGAGAAGAGAAGGGAGAUCUCACUGUGGCCUUCCAGUACCUGAAGGGAGCUAAUUAGCAGAGGGGAGACUGACUUCUGUACAUGGUCUGGUAGUGAUAGGACAAGGGGGAAUGGCUUUAAAUUAAAAGAGGAAAGAUUUAGGUUGGAUUUGAAGAAGAAAUUCUUUACUCGGAAAAUGGUGAGACCCUGGUACUGCUGACCAGGAAGCAAUGGAUGCUCCAUGACUGGAGGUUCUCAAGGCCAAAAUGGAUGAGGUUCUGGGCACCACCUGAUCCGGUGGGUGGACACCAGUUCAUGACAGGGGAGUUGG
This is a long non-coding RNA of Centrocercus urophasianus (Greater sage-grouse), 2157 nucleotides long. RefSeq lists it as uncharacterized. NCBI's taxonomy places the organism in Eukaryota, Metazoa, Chordata, Aves, Galliformes, Phasianidae. The record is from RefSeq and is a predicted model, not a curated record. The transcript has 7 exons.